CCUACGGGAGGCAGCAGUGGGGAAUAUUGGACAAUGGGGGGAACCCUGAUCCAGCCAUGCCGCGUGUGUGAAGAAGGCCCUCGGGUUGUAAAGCACUUUCAGUGAGGAAGAACGCCUGGUGGUUAAUACCCAUCAGGAAAGACAUCACUCACAGAAGAAGCACCGGCUAACUCCGUGCCAGCAGCCGCGGUAAUACGGAGGGUGCGAGCGUUAAUCGGAAUUACUGGGCGUAAAGCGCGCGUAGGUGGCUUGAUAAGCCGGUUGUGAAAGCCCCGGGCUCAACCUGGGAACGGCAUCCGGAACUGCCAAGCUAGAGUGCAGGAGAGGAAGGUAGAAUUCCCGGUGUAGCGGUGAAAUGCGUAGAGAUCGGGAGGAAUACCAGUGGCGAAGGCGGCCUUCUGGACUGACACUGACACUGAGGUGCGAAAGCGUGGGUAGCAAACAGGAUUAGAUACCCCUGUAGUC
This 465-nucleotide ribosomal RNA is filed under the name Vreelandella stevensii. RNAcentral describes it as "partial 16S ribosomal RNA". It matches the Rfam family "Bacterial small subunit ribosomal RNA", at positions 338 to 795 of the family's 1533-position model. The record is from RNAcentral. Lineage: Bacteria; Pseudomonadati; Pseudomonadota; Gammaproteobacteria; Oceanospirillales; Halomonadaceae.